CUUGGUUCACAUCUAAGCAGGGACAGAUUAAUGGCUGUUCGAUCAGCCGUCCUUCAAACCCAGCUUCCUGGGACUGGCCUUCAGACUGGCUUUACCUCGUGCCAACCUGUCCACUUCUCAUGGUGUUCCCCUACCUCGUCUCAAUCUCCUUGGCUGGCUUCUAAGCCUUUUUGACCAUGUUGUACCCUGGAGAUACGGAAACCAGCUAAGCCGGGCAGUGUCCUCGUGGGCAUGUCUUAUACUCUGGAACAAUAUCAAGUCCCCACUCAACCAUCCUUUUCACGGCAGUGUGUCCCCUAGGCACUGUUUUCUUCUCUUUUCCUGCUUUUCACCACUCGGCCCUGAGGUUCACCCCCUGUCCCUGCAUGUCCCUGGUGGAUCCCAAGAGGUCACUCAGCGCUGCCCUGAGCGGGAUGGGGCAGUGUCCUUGCAGUAGGGCAUCUCACAGCCCCUCAAAGCAGCUCGAUGCUUGGACUCACUCUCCGCCUAGCACUUUCUUAAAACACACUUGGAGAUCCCCAGAAAACACUACCCCAGGAACACUUGUCAUCCUAUUUUCCAAAUGAUCAUUGCUGGUGCAUAUGAUUUAAGGAGAUGGCUUUAAAUGAGCUUUGCCAAGUCAAGAUUUAUUGAUACACGUGUGCCAUGUUUUUUGAAUCAUACGUGUCUGUGUGUGUGGAUAUACAUUUCUGUGGAAUGAUCCUGAUCAUAAAUUAAAAUGCAGACAUUAAAAUUGAAGAAAGUGCUGCAGAAACACCCCAAAUCAUAGAGCACACUCAGUCAGCUGAUGCUCAAAUGCCAGACACGCUGGAGGAAUUUAUCCAGUGACACAUGCAAUUGAAGUAAAAUAUUGUGCUUUACAAGAACGUAUCAUUAAAAUGAAAACUAGCAGCAUAUCAGGAGUCUGGCUUUGUAACCAAGACAACAUAGAUGGGAAAGGAUGAAAGACAUGAUGUACCAGAGGAAGAGGAAGGAGGCAGAAGGCAAGAGGAGGUGGUGGGCCCCCAGCUGUGAAUGGCCCCCUUCCUGCUGGGUUCGUAGCUGAUAGACUCUAGAUGGGAAGAGAAUAGAAUCUCGAUGGAGAUGCUGGCAAAAGCUCUCACCAAGAACAGGACCAGGGAUGGGAAAGGCAGUGGGAGCCAGACUGACUCAGAGCCCCCCAGCGGAAGCUCUGCUUGAGGGUCUGCUUAUAGUUCCCCCUGUUCCCAAGUGACUUCCUGUGAAUGUGGCCACUGGGCUUGCUUCCUGGUGGUGGCACAGUGCUUCUCCCAGCAGCUCUGGUUUCUCAUAGAGGCAUUGGCCACGGCUUCUCCAAGAGCUCCCUCAAGUCUCCCCCCUUCAUCACGCUCCCAGGGGAUGCAGAUGUAUCGGUUCUGGGCUGCUGUGCAACAAUGACCCCAAAACCUAGAGGCUUGAAACAACAUUUGUCUCACAGUGUCUGUGGAGCAGGAAUGCAGGCCCAGCUUAGCUGGACCCUCUCGCUCAGAGUUGCUCACAGACUGUAGUCAGGGUGUUGGCUGGGGGCAGCCGUCCUCUCCAUGCUCAAGGCCAGAAUGGGGGAGGAUCCUCUUCCAAGGUCAUGCCCGUGGUAGGUGCAAGGCCUCAGGUCCUCCCUGGAGACAUUAGUCCCUGGCCACGUGACCUCUCCAUGACAGCCUCUCGUACAAUACGGCAGCUGAGAGAGAGGGCCAACAAGAGACAGCGAGCCGGUCCUUUCAGAACCUCAUUUCAGGAGGGUCACUGAGAUCCUUUUAGAAGCUGCCUGCCACAUGAGCGCUUAGAAGCUGGCCACUGAGGGCGUAGGAACCAAUACUUUUAAAGUCCAAGUUAACUUUUAGUGGUACAGGAAGGGGCACAACAGCCCUGCUCAGGAGCCCCCUGUCUUCUGGCGCCCUGAGAUUCUGAUUGGCAUAUCAGACAAUCCGGAGGAGGAAUAGGAAGGGGCUAAGUGCCUGUCCCACCUGCAGGGUCAGAGGGUGCUGCCGCCCCCAGCGGGAGGUCUGGGAGCACGUGGAGGUGGUCCCAGGGACGCUGCUCGUCUUGGGGAAACAGCGGUGGUUUAUGAUGGGGGAUGAGCGAGACUUCUGUUUCAGGUCGGUACCUGAUGAGCGCUCUGUCCACGGAGGGGGUCUGCCCCCUGCCCCCCCGGAGACUGGCCUCUUUUGGGGAUCGACGGGCUUUUAGGAAGGGGUCAUUUCCCUGUGGAUUAGAGCUGGCAGGAGAGAGGUUGGGAAGGGAACCGCUGUGUUCGGUACACCUCGUAGGUGCCAGGCACUCUUCUGGGUGUUUCCCUUGUGUUACGUGCAUUGAUCAUCUCAUGUCAUUCUCCAGGUUUCCAUUCAGGGUCAAGGCUACGACCUCCAUUUCACACAGGUGAAGUGACUCGUGACUCACCUGCGGGGCGUACAAUUUGAUCUAAGGUCUGUCUUCCCUGAUGUGGCCUUAUCAUGGACUUGACCUGUGGCUCUGCUCUUGGGCUGUGGUGAACCUUACUCCACAACUCUGAGAGCUGGGCCUCCCCCACACUGGGCCAGCACACCUGUUGGCCAGAACCUUCCUUUCCUUCCCUCUGGCCCUGUGCUAGCUCAGAGGCCCAGGGGUCCAGUGUGGCUGCUGUAACUGAAGUCCCCAUGGCAGAGUGCUCCCUUCUUUAAUUGUACCAGACUCAUCUAUCUGAAACAGCUCCAAUCCUCUCACUUUCCUAGUUUAAAUAUAUAUAUGUAUCUGUCUUCUCAUCCAUGCUUCUGUGGCCCCCACUGCCCGUAGGCUGCCUGUGUGUCAUGGCCCAGCCACCCCAAGGACACGGGUCCUCCAGCUCAGCCCUUCAGCCCUGGCACGCUGCCCGGCGCCUCACAUUUUGAGUCUCAAGGAUUCCGGCUAAAUUUAAAUGCCAAGGAAGAGGCACCCGCCUGGGAGACAGUGGGGUUCCCACCUACACAGCAGCUCCCGCAUCACCAGGCUCCCUCCACAGCCCACUUCCGUUUCCAGGAGCAGUUUUGCUGGAGCCCGUCCUGUGGCAGAGUGGGCGGUGGCCCUGGGGAGGCGCCAACAGGCUGUGCUUUUCUACUCACCACUGACCUGCCACCCAGGACCCACUCAGGAUGUUUGGCCUUUGGCGUCACAGCAGAAUCCUCUCUGCAAACAACCUGUGGGACUGUGCAUAGUGGUGCCUGAUGACUUUUCCUGCUGCCGGUCAGGUCAGCUCUUGCUCUUUCCUGCCUGUCCUUGAGCAGCAUUGUGCUCUUAAGGCAGGAAGAUCUGCUCAUGAUGUUAUCUUGACCAAUCGUCCAGGCUGACAUGCCGCAGUAAGUCCCAAAGCAGCUCUGGCUCCACGAUUUCUUUAUAGAUGUCGUGGCUUGAGGGACAGUGUGAUCAGAUGGUUUCCUUUGUUGACCUGCCUUGCCCUGUUGGUGCUCAUAUGAGUCUCAUUAGGAAAAGUGGGCCAACGAAUGGAUCUAUGACUGGAUCGAUGGGUAUUGGCUCAGCAGUCUUCCCACCCCACCAAAGGCUCUCCCUUCCUUGGGGUCACUCUCUGGCAUCCCCAGUGCCUCCUCUUGCUCCAGGUUUUUUGCUGAGACCUCCUCUGAGUCCCCUUCCAGAAGGUUCCUCCCCCCCUUCCUGAAGCCUUGGGAGCAAGAGGGUGGAAGGGAAAGUGCACAGGAAGAGACUCCCCAUUCCCGCUCUUGCCAGGGAGGUAGAUUGCCUUUCUGCUCAACCACUGACAACUCCCACCAAACUGAGAGUCUGCUGGGGGGUGGGGGAGAGGAAUUUGAGUGUGGCCUGGGAUGAUUGGACCUGAGGGGCCAGAAUGAUGCCAAGGCCACCUUAGGACUCACUCUUUUCACUGCAUCCACAAGUUACAGCAAACCCUGCUGCUUUCCAGGUCUUCCCAGUGGGAAUCUCAGAUGCCAAGGGUUGUUUCAGGCAAGAUUAUACCGGUGUAUUAGAUCACCUGAGUAUCUUCCAUGCUUUGUGGUUUCCGAUAACAGGGAAGAUGGGCAGAUACUGCUCAUUCUUAAAGAUCUCUAAGUGGAUAAAUUCUUUACCUGAUCUUUCUGCUGACUUACCAGCUAUCCCCACCCCCUGCCAGUGAUCAUUCCAAUCCUUCCCUUUUGUCCUACCUUCCCUUAAGAGCAUAGCAUUUAUCUGGGCUUUUCUAUAAGAAACAGGAUCCCUUUAUAGCUAUUUCUCACUAUGGGUGUACAGGCUUUUUGAGAAAUUGUAUGCACUUCUCACCAUAUUUUAAAUGCUCUGGAUGAGCAUACAUAGAAUGUCUUACUUAAUGUUUAUGAUUAAAGCUCUUCUGGGCCUUCCCCCAGACAUAGCAGGCAGGGGAGGAGAAAUACGUACUAAAUCUCACUCUUGGGGGAUCCAUUUUUCUUAGAUCUCAUGAGGUUUAAUCAGGAAGGAUCAGCUUUGAACCUUUGUGGAUCUGAACUUGCACACUGUUGGCCUUAAGGAACACUGGGCAGCUGGGAUGUGAGACUCCUCCAUGAGCUGGGCAGGGUCAAGGUCACCUUGAUGCUAGUGGACUGACUGCCUCAUUGCCUCAACUAGGCUGUGGGCUUCUUCACCUGAUGGAAAGGUCAUGGGCUGAAGAGAUAAGAGUUCAUCAAAGGAACCAGGGAAUCCUCUUUUAAACUGAAGAAUCCUUUUCUAAAAUUAAUAGCCUCAGAGUGUAUCUAUUUUACCACCUUGAGUUUUUAUUCCAUCACAUUUUGAUUACCCAGAAAUCGUAGGCAAUAGAAGCUUUCAAAAUCAGUUGCUGAGAAUUUUUCCUGAGAGGACUGUGUUCAUUUUCUUUACAUAAAAAAAUAGUUUAUUAAUACAUCUGGAUCUUUUCCCCUGCAUGUCUAGACAUUCCCCGGUUAAAUGUGAGUGCCCAGCACAGUGCUUUCCUGAAAGUAACACAUGCUAAGUAAAAAAUGUAUUUAAAGAUUGAUUGUUGGGGCUUUGGGUCUUAUAGUAUGUGUGUGUGUGUGUGUGUGUGUGUGUGUGUGAGAGAGAGAAUGUAUCAGCUACCUUAGGCUAAGUUAUGUUGCAGUAACAAAUAACCCCCAAUUUAAGUGGCUACAACAGUAGCAUGAGUUCAUUUUCAGCUCAUGUGAAUGUGUACCCUGGUUGGGCAGCAGCUACACUCCAUGUCAUUUGUUUGGGACAGAGGCUGAAGACAUGCCAGCUCCUGGCAGAAAGAAAUGAGAAAUGGCUGUUAACACCACUGCUUGGAAGUGGCACAUGCUAUUGCUCUUCACAGUUUAUUGGCUAAGCCAAAGGGAAUAAUGUGGGAAAUAUAACCUGGCCGCAGGAAGAGGCCUGGUGUGUAUAUGUGUAGGGGGUGGGAGCGAGGGGCAGAGAGUAUUUUGUCAAUAAUACAGCUUACACUAAAGAUUAUUAUUUUUAAAAAAUUCUAUUGAAGUAUUUUUGAUUUACAAUAUUGUGUUAAUUUCUGCAGUAUAACAAAGUGAUUCAGUUAUACAUAUUUCCAUUUCCAUAUAGAUUAUCACAGAAUAUUGAGUAGACUUCAAUCUACUCUAAGGAAUAUUAUCGUGAACACACUGAGUCAAGACAUUUCUAAUUAGGGAAUUCGCAUCAUGGCUCAAUGGUUAACAAACCCAACUAGCAUCCAUGAGGACACAGGUUUGAUCCUUGGCCUUGCUCAGUGGGUUAAGGAUCUGGCAUUGCUGUGAGCUGUGGUAUAGGUCCCAGAUGCGGCUCAGAUCCUGCUUUGCUUUGGCUGUGGCAUCGGCAGGUGGCUACAGCUCCAAUUGGACCCCUAUCCUGGGAACCUCCAUAUGAGGUGGGUG
This 5804-nucleotide long non-coding RNA is filed under the name Sus scrofa (pig). Its description in RNAcentral is "lncRNA (ENSSSCG00050034051.1)". The record is from RNAcentral. Lineage: Eukaryota; Metazoa; Chordata; Mammalia; Artiodactyla; Suidae.